AAUAUUGGACAAUGGGGGCAACCCUGAUCCAGCCAUGCCGCGCGUGUGAAGAAGGUCUUCGGUUUGUAAAGCACUUUAUGGUGGGAGGAAGGGCUUUAGGUUAAUACCCUGAAGUUUUGACUUUACCAACUGAAUAAGUCACGUCUCACUCUACGUCAGCAGCCGAGGUAAUACAGAGGGUGCAAGCGUUAAUCGGAAUUACUGGGCGUAAAGCGCGCGUAGGUGGUUCAGUAAGAUGGGUGUGAAAUCCCCGGGCUUAACCUGGGAACUGCUUUCAUAACUGCUGAGCUAGAGUACGGUAGAGGGUAGUGGAAUUUCCUGUGUAGCGGUGAAAUGCGUAGAUAUAGGAAGGAACACCAGUGGCGAAGGCGACUACCUGGACUGAUACUGACACUGAGGUGCGAAAGCGUGGGGAGCAAACA
Molecule: ribosomal RNA, 422 nt
Filed under: uncultured bacterium
Lineage: Bacteria
Description: partial 16S ribosomal RNA
Rfam family: Bacterial small subunit ribosomal RNA
Source: RNAcentral